AUACACAGUAAGCGGCUUAGCGAAAGCGUUAAGUAAUCCACCUGGGGAGUACGUUCGCAAGAAUGAAACUCAAAGGAAUUGACGGGGGCCCGCACAAGCGGAGGAACAUGUGGUUUAAUUCGAUGAUACGCGAGGAACCUUACCCGGGCUUGAAAUGCUAUUGACCGGCUCAGAGACGAGCCUUCCCUUCGGGGCAAUAGUGUAGGUGCUGCAUGGUUGUCGUCAGCUCGUGCCGUGAGGUGUCGGCUUAAGUGCCAUAACGAGCGCAACCCUCAUCAUUAGUUACUAACAGGUUAAGCUGAGGACUCUAGUGAGACUGCCAUCGUAAGAUGCGAGGAAGGUGGGGAUGACGUCAAAUCAGCACGGCCCUUAUGUCCGGGGCGACACACGUGUUACAAUGGAUGGUACAACAGGCAGCUACUUGGCGACAAGAUGCUAAUCCCGAAAACCAUUCUCAGUUCGGAUGGAAGUCUGCAACUCGACUUCGUGAAGCUGGAUUCGCUAGUAAUCGCGCUCAGCC
This 520-nucleotide ribosomal RNA is filed under the name uncultured bacterium. Its description in RNAcentral is "bacterial SSU rRNA". It matches the Rfam family "Bacterial small subunit ribosomal RNA", at positions 832 to 1354 of the family's 1533-position model. The record is from RNAcentral.